AUGUUGAUUCUUCUUCUCGCGGUUUUGCUCGCCUUUCCAGGCCCAAUCAAAGGAGAACAUGAUUUGGAUGCAGGUGGUGGUGGUGUCGUGGCGCCUCCACCUGAUCCCGAGAGCAGUCAUCUGGCCCCUUCUCCUCAAACUUCUCCAAAGAGUAAUCCAACUCCACUUCCAGUGACUGGUCAUUUGCCUCAUCCUCGGCCUCUAUCGACCCUGCCGCCUCCACCAGGCUGUGUAGAAGUGAAGGUAAACAAAGGGCCGUGCUUUGACGUUCUUUGUGCAGCAGCAUGUCUCAUGGAAUCAUAUAAGGGCGGCCAGUGUCAUGGAAGUUUUCCUUUCGGUCCUUGCUAUUGUCUCAAGUGUCAAGUAGCAAAGACUAGUCCGUCAUUACAUUGA
RNAcentral lists this ribosomal RNA (393 nucleotides) under Triticum aestivum (bread wheat). RNAcentral describes it as "partial small subunit ribosomal RNA". Lineage: Eukaryota; Viridiplantae; Streptophyta; Magnoliopsida; Poales; Poaceae. The record is from RNAcentral.